RNAcentral lists this ribosomal RNA (1805 nucleotides) under Methanobacteriota archaeon. RNAcentral's name for it is "bacterial LSU rRNA". It matches the Rfam family "Archaeal large subunit ribosomal RNA", at positions 19 to 1946 of the family's 2987-position model. The record is from RNAcentral. Lineage: Archaea; Methanobacteriati; Methanobacteriota.
CAUCUGGGGGAUCGCUCGGCUCGAGUACCGAAGAAGGUCGUGACAAGCUGCGAUAAGCUGCGGGGAGACGCAUGAGUGUCUAGGAUCCGCAGAUAGCUGAAUGGGACUUCCUAUCCCUUAGGGGAUAAUCGCAAUAGCGAUAGGGAACCCCCCGAAUUGAAGCAUCUUAGUAGGGGGAGGAAAAGAAAUCAAUGAGACUCCGUGAGUAGUGGCGAACGAAAACGGAAUAGGACAAACCGAAUCUCGACUGGAAACUGAGAGACAUGUGGUGUGACCAUUUAUCGCCUAAGUCACUGAAAUAGAAGUCGUCUGGAAUGACACAGCCAUAGAGGGUGAAAGUCCCGUAUAUGUAGGUGAUACGGCCACGUAAUGAGUCAGGAGUAGCAUGCGUUGGAUAUCGCGUGUGAAGACGGGAGGCAGGAACUUCCAAUCCUAAGUAUAGCUCGAGACCGAUAGUUUACAAGUAACGUGAGUGAAAGCUGAAAAGAAUCCUUAGCGGGAUGUGAAAAGAACGUGAAACCAGAUGGGUACAGGCUGAAUAGGCGUGAAAGCGAAGAUAUGAGCAGCGUCUAUUCGUGCGUUUCGAAAAAUGCCCCAGGGAGUCUUGAUCAUUGGCGAGGUUAAGGAGUUGAUCUCCGUAGCCGAAGGGAAACCGACAAGUCCGCAGCAGUUUACUGUGAGGGACGAAGUGUGCUCGCUUGGAGUCAAUGGUGGAGGACCUGAAGCCCGACGAUCUAUGCCUGGCCAGAUUGAAGCCCGACGAAAGUUGGGUGGAGGAUCGAACCGUUGCUGAUCUGCAAAUCGCUCGGACGAGCUGGGUAUAGGGGUGAAAGUCCAAUCGAGUUGGGCAAUAGCAGGUUCCGCGUGAAACUACUCGUAGGUAGACGUCCGUGAAGAUUGAUUACGCUGUAGAGCACUGAUUGUGCGUUUAGGGGACUCGCGUCCUCGGCGUGCUGCCAAACUCCGAAGGUGUAAUCGUUGUAGAAGCGGGCAGUGAGUCAUGGUGGGUAAGCUACCAUGACGCAAGGUGAACAAACCAGCCUGAAGUUAAGGUCCCUAAAUUCCAAUUAAGUGUCACAGACAAACCGUGUCCGUGGUCGAAAACAACCAGAAGGUGGGCUUAGAGGCAGCCAUCCUUGAAAGAGUUCGUAACAGAUCACUGGUCUAGCUUGCGGGCCGGGAAAAGGGACGGGGCUAAAAUUGGAUACCGAUACUUCAGACCAUCGAAAGAUGAUGUGGUAACGCGGCGUAGUGUUUGGGUGGAAGCAAGGCUGUGAGGUCUUGUGGACCGGAUACUAAUGAGAGUCUUGGGAAGAGUAGCAGCACAGUGUGGUGAGAAUCCGCACCACCGGAGGGGCCAGGGUUCCUCGGCACUGUUUAUCAGCCGAGGGUUAGCCGGUCCUAAGGCAAUUCUUAACCGAAAUUGUCGAAAGGGAAUGAUGUUAAUAUUCAUCAGCCCCCCCUGUAAUCUAUGGUGACGGCUCGGGCAAAGUCAUGAGAUCAUAUGUCAGGGCUCAUGAUACCAAGCUUCUGGAGAACUGUUAUAGUGAGAAGGAAGCGAAGUCCUGGGUCCCAUGAAAAGCCACAGGGGGUGACCGUACCGAGAACUGACACAGGUGCCCCUGGGUGAGUAGCCUAAGGUGUAUCGGAUACAAAUAUCGCGAGGGAACUCGGCAAAAUAGCUCCGUAACUUCGGGAGAAGGAGUGCCAGCUUAGGAAUAAGCUGGUCGCAGUGACCAGGGAGCUCCGACUGUUUAAUAAAAACAUAGGGGACUGCCAGAUCGAAAGGUUGUGUAUAGUCCCUG